Non-coding RNA from Ceratotherium simum simum (southern white rhinoceros), 336 nucleotides. The record is from RefSeq and is a predicted model, not a curated record. NCBI's taxonomy places the organism in Eukaryota, Metazoa, Chordata, Mammalia, Perissodactyla, Rhinocerotidae.
CACAGUUGUCUAUGUAAGAAGAGACAAUGGAUCUGGUUGUGGUUCUGCUGCUCUGUCUCUCUUGUUUGCUUCUCCUUUCACUCUGGAAACAGAGCUCCAGGAAAGGGAGGCUCCCACCUGGCCCCACUCCUCUCCCUAUUAUUGGAAAUAUCCUGCAGUUAGAUGUCAAGGACAUCAGCAAAUCCUUAAGUAAACUCUCAAAAGUCUAUGGCCCUGUGUUCACUCUGUAUUUGGGCUUGAAGCCCACCGUGGUCUUGCAUGGAUAUGAAGCAGUGAAGGAAGCCCUUAUUGAUCAGGGGGAGGAGUUUUCUGGAAGAGGCAGUUUUCCAGUGGCUG